GUCAGAAGCUUCAGGGUCUUCCUCGUCUGCAGAUGAAUUAUAAUCAUCUUCAAAGUGAAUAUCGAGGCUAGAAAGCUUAUCGGCUGGAAGACUUGAAGAUUGCCGAAAGUCCACUGCCAUAUUUAAAGAUUGACUCAACGACUCACUAUCGGAGCUAAUUAUCUCAGUUACAGUAUCAUUAGCUUCAGUUUCAACCCAAGCAGUAUAAUAACGCACUACAUGUUCAUGAUGUAAACGAGACAAAGUCAUAACUUCACGUAAAAUUCUGCUAUUCUCUUUAUCAUCGCUCAAAAGGACAAGCUUUUUAACCGCAUAAAACCUUCCAUCAAUUCGAUUUUUGACUUUAACUACUUCACCAAAACCGCCACGUCCUAAAAAUUCAAGUUCUUCAAAAUCUGUUUCAUAACGUGAAACGCUUUUCCUGUACAACAAAUCAAUAAUUCCAUCCUGUUGACCACCAUAAGAAGGGCGUGCAGAUUUUGAAAAGGUACCCUGCUCAACUGGAGGAAGAACUGCUGUACCCAAACGAAUGACAUGACUACUUAACAAGUCAAUGGCGCUAGGGCGUUUCCUUGAAUCGCGCAUUAAACAGCGACGAACCAAAUCUUGAUAAGACCCCGGAAGAAGAGGAAUUACAUGAGUCAUAAUCAGUUUUAGUGAAGAGAAUUUAUUCAAAACGUGAGCUCCACAAAGCAUCUGCAAUACUAAUAGUCCAAAACACCAGAUGUCAGUUUUUCUCGAUGCAGCUGCAAAUGAUGACUCAGAAACCUCUGGGGGAUACAGCCCUUCCGGUAGAAUAUUGGUAAUGGAUUGAGAAUUAAUGUUAAAAGGAUGAGAUGCGUUCAUGUCUCGUAAAGUGCGUGUAAACCCAAAAUCCAUUAGCUUUGCAAAAGUUCUAUGGCCUGAAUGAAAAAGCACCACAUUGUCCAAGUGCAAACUUUUGUGUGAAAUUCCAAGACGAUGCAGCUCAGCUAAACCUUCUAAAAUAUUGUUUGAAAAAGCUCUAACGGUUUCAACGUCUAAAGUAAGGACGGUUUGUAAAAGACUAAACAGAGUGAACUUCGGAGAAUAUUCUUGCAAAACGUACAACCUCCAACCAUAACCUCGUGUCUCUCUUUCCAGU
Non-coding RNA from Schizosaccharomyces pombe (fission yeast), 1123 nucleotides. The record is from the annotation of a GenBank genome assembly. NCBI's taxonomy places the organism in Eukaryota, Fungi, Ascomycota, Schizosaccharomycetes, Schizosaccharomycetales, Schizosaccharomycetaceae.